UGUUAAAGAUUAAGCCAUGCAUGUGUAAGUAUAAAGACCAAGAAGGAUGAAACUGCGGACGGCUCAUUAAAACUGUCAUAAUUUCUUUGGUUAAAUUCAUAAGGAUAACUCUGUUAAUUGUAGAGCUAAUACUUGAAACGUCGAAAGACAACCGCAAGGUUAUAAACAUAUCCCUUAUGAAUAAGGAUAUGAAGAGAAUUGAAGUAAGUAAACUUUCACAAGUAACCAAUGAGAAUGUCAGACCUAACAACCAGAAGGUUUGGUAGUGGCAAACCUUAGUGAUAACGGGUAACGAGAAAUAAGGGUUUUACAUCGGAGAGGGAGCAUGCGAAACGGCUACCACUUCCAAGGAAGGCAGCAGGCGCGAAAAUUACCCACUUCAGACUCUGAGAGGUAGUGACGACAAAUAACUAAAGUGUGCCACAAAAGUGGUACACUUUUAGGGAUGAACCGAACGUAAAUAUGUCGGUGAACGCGAUUGGAGGGCAAGACUGGUGCCAGCAGCCGCGGUAAUUCCAGCUCCAAUAGUGUAUAUUAAAGUUGUUGUGAUUAAAAAGCUCGUAGUUGAUACAAACAGAAGAUGGUUCAAAACAGGUUCAGCUACGGUUGUCUCUGUUGCGGACUUGAUCUUCAAAGUGCAUACACAAUCGAAAGAUUAUGCAUGCGGUUUACUUUGAAUAAAGAAGAGUGCUUAAAGCAAAGCAAUAGCUAAUGCAAGAUAAAGCAUGGGAUAAUAAUAAGGGGAUCUCGAGAAAACCAUGACUAUAUGGCGGACAAGAGAUAACACAAAAAGGGAUAAGAGAAAGUGAUGACGUGGAUCAUACGGAAGCGGGAGAGGUGAAAAUCCAUGAUCGUUUCAGGAUGAACAAAAGCGAAAGCAUUCCACGAAGAACUGUUCAUUAAUCAAGAACGAAAGUUAGGGGAUCGAAGACGAUUAGAUACCGUCGUAGUCCUAACCAUAAACUAUGUCGACAAAGGAUUGGGAAGAAUCACACAGUGCGAGUCAGCUCCGGCUAAAAGCACUGGACACACUCUCGCCAGAACUUAAGGGAAACCAAGUUAAUGGACUUCAGGGGGAGUAUUGUCGCAAGACCGAAACUUAAAGGAAUUGACGGAAGGGCACACCAGGAGUGGAGCCUGCGGCUUAAUUUGACUCAACACGGGACAACUUACCAAGACCACACACGGCAAGGAAUGACAGACUAAGGGAACUUUCACGAUAACGUGGGGAGUGGUGCAUGGCCGUUCAUAGUUCGUGGAGUGAUUUGUCAGGUUUAUUCCGAUAACGAACGAGACUUCAAUCUUUAAUUAGAUUACGCAGCACAUGUUGCGCAAGUCAGCAAUGACCCUCAAACGAGGUCUUCUUAAAGAGACUCUUGGCAAUUUUCUGGAUUGCGGACCUACCCACCGGGAGGAUUCGCAGGCGGAAGAAGCUAAGGGAAGAGAAGCAAUAACAGGUCUGUGAUGCCCUUAGACAUCUUGGGCUGCACGCGUGCUACAAUAUCUAUUUUCAAGAGUACAUCAACAGUCAAUAGGAAGCAGUAGGCUCUCGCGAGCUUAGUGUUUCGACUAGGGCUGAACACCUUUUCCGAAAGGAGUGGGAAAACUCGUAAGAUAGAUGUAACAGGGAUUAAUGAUUGGAAUUAUUUGUUAUGGAACGAGGAAUUCCUUGUAAAAUUUUGUCACUAACGAAAGUUGAAUACGUCCCUGCCCUUUGUACACACCGCCCGUCGCUCCUACCGAUUGAAUAAAAAGAUGAAGGUUUAGGAGGAAUCAUCAAGCGAUGAGCCGAAUGGAUCUGAAUCUCUUUAUUUAGAGG
RNAcentral lists this ribosomal RNA (1819 nucleotides) under uncultured Entamoeba. Its description in RNAcentral is "partial 18S ribosomal RNA". It matches the Rfam family "Eukaryotic small subunit ribosomal RNA". The record is from RNAcentral. Lineage: Eukaryota; Evosea; Mastigamoebida; Endamoebidae.